UCAAGGAGUAGUUUAAUAAAAAUUCUAGUUUUGGGAAUUAGAGAUAAGGAGUGUUCCUUCUCCUUGAU
This 68-nucleotide transfer RNA is filed under the name Odontodactylus havanensis. RNAcentral describes it as "tRNA-Pro". The record is from RNAcentral. Lineage: Eukaryota; Metazoa; Arthropoda; Malacostraca; Stomatopoda; Odontodactylidae.